GAAGACAUUUGUGAAAUAUCUACUGUAACUCACAGCUUGACCACCUUGUGUCAAAUAUCCUGCCAGCAGGAUCCAGUAGAAAUCAGAUCUAAAAUGUUCCUCAAGUCUCAUUUGUUCAGAAGUGGAACUUUGCAAGGUGAAUGAAUCAUGGAGUGCUAUGCUCAUCAAUGGAUUAAUCCAGGGAUCCAGAAAGUGAUGCUUAGAGUGAGGACCAGAGCUCCCCAAAAGUGAACCAAAGCUAUUCUCAGUGCCAACAAAGCCCU
Molecule: long non-coding RNA, 263 nt
Organism: Chinchilla lanigera (long-tailed chinchilla)
Lineage: Eukaryota; Metazoa; Chordata; Mammalia; Rodentia; Chinchillidae
Exons: 3
Source: RefSeq, a predicted model, not a curated record